CAGCCGCCGCGGUAAUACCUGCAGCUCAAGUGGUGGCCGCUAUUAUUGGGCCUAAAACGUCCGUAGCCUGUUUAGUAAAUGCUUGGGUAAAUUGUGUAGCUUAACUAUACGAAUACCGGGUAGACUGCUAAACUUGGGACCGGGAGAGGCUAGAGGUACUCCUGGGGUAGAGGUGAAAUUCUGUAAUCCUAGGGGGACCACCAGUGGCGAAGGCGUCUAGCUAGAACGGGUCUGACGGUGAGGGACGAAGCCCUGGGGCGCGAACCGGAUUAGAUACCCGGGUAGUCCACGGUGUAAACGCUGCUUGCUUGAUGUUAGAUGGGCUCCGAGCCCAACUAGUGUCGGAGAGAAAUUGUUAAACAAGCUGCCUGGGAAGUCCGGUCGCAAGACUGAAACUUAAAGGAAUUGGCGGGGGAGCACAGCAACCAGUGGAGCGUGCGGGUUAAUUGGAUUCAACGCCGGAAAACUCACCGGAGGCGAACGGUUAUAUGAAGGCCAGGUUGAUGACCUUGCUUGAUUUUCCGAGAAGUGGUGCAUGGCCGUCGUCAGUUCGUACCGUGAGGCGUUCUGUUAAGUCAGACAACGAACGAGACCCUCAUCUUUAGUUGCUACUAGUAAGUCCGCUUACUAGGCACACUAGAGAAACCGCUGGCGAUAAGUCAGAGGAAGGUGAGGGCAACGGUAGGUCAGUAUGCCCUGAAUCCUCCGGGCUACACGCGCGCUACAAAGGCUAGGACAAUGGGUUCCUACACCGAAAGGUGACGGUAAUCCCGAAAACCUAGUCGUAGUUCGGAUUGAGGAUUGAAACUCAUCCUCAUGAAGCUGGAAUCCGUAGUAAUCGCGGGUCAACAUCCCGCGGUGAAUAUGCCCCUGCUCCUGGCACACACCGCCCGUCAAACCAUGCGAGUUGGGUCUGAGUGAGGAUGUAGCAUUUUGCUGCGUUCAAACUUAGGCUUAGUAAGCGGGGUUAAGUCGUAACAAGGUAGCCGUA
RNAcentral lists this ribosomal RNA (991 nucleotides) under uncultured archaeon. RNAcentral's name for it is "bacterial SSU rRNA". It matches the Rfam family "Archaeal small subunit ribosomal RNA", at positions 459 to 1451 of the family's 1478-position model. The record is from RNAcentral.